GAGUUUGAUCAUGGCUCAGAUUGAACGCUGGCGGCAUGCCUUACACAUGCAAGUCGAACGGCAGCACGGGAGCUUGCUCCUGGUGGCGAGUGGCGAACGGGUGAGUGAUGCAUCGGAACGUAUCCUGGAGUGGGGGAUAACGUAGCGAAAGUUACGCUAAUACCGCAUAUUCUGUGAGCAGGAAAGCGGGGGACCUUCGGGCCUCGCGCUCUUGGAGCGGCCGAUGUCGGAUUAGCUAGUUGGUGAGGUAAAGGCUCACCAAGGCGACGAUCCGUAGCAGGUCUGAGAGGAUGAUCUGCCACACUGGAACUGAGACACGGUCCAGACUCCUACGGGAGGCAGCAGUGGGGAAUUUUGGACAAUGGGGGCAACCCUGAUCCAGCCAUGCCGCGUGAGUGAAGAAGGCCU
This 408-nucleotide ribosomal RNA is filed under the name bacterium enrichment culture clone ALO1_GLFRUDD03FYCCW. RNAcentral describes it as "bacterial SSU rRNA". It matches the Rfam family "Bacterial small subunit ribosomal RNA", at positions 9 to 417 of the family's 1533-position model. The record is from RNAcentral.